Long non-coding RNA from Arvicola amphibius (Eurasian water vole), 1361 nucleotides. RefSeq lists it as uncharacterized. Lineage: Eukaryota; Metazoa; Chordata; Mammalia; Rodentia; Cricetidae. The record is from RefSeq and is a predicted model, not a curated record. The transcript is spliced from 3 exons.
UACCAGUCAGACUUAAAUUUUGGUUAUAAUAAAUUCAAGAAUUAUAAUUAAAAAGACACCAGCCACGAAGAAACCAGAGAGAGUUCUCUAGCCAGGAACCAACAAGCGUCUGGCUCAUUACAACAACGUCUGACUAGAACUCUGGCCCUGCACCAUGUGUCUCAGUGUGGAAGUGUGUCUGAUGCAGGUGAUGGGGGAGAUCACAGUCUCCUAACAGCCUGGAGUCAGUUGAGCAGACAGUGAACUUCUGACUGCAAUCAGAGACUGGGUGUUCUGGCCUCGUCAAGGAAGCACCAACUAUCAUGUGAUAUUCCCAACAGGGAAUGGAGGAGGAUUUUCCCAGCAAAAGGUCAUAAAGGAAGCUAGGAACUGAAUGAAGAUGAAUUACAUAAUAUCAAAAUACAGAGGCUACAGCUGAACUUGGCCUGGUGGAAACGCAUAGCUUUAAAUACCUGUACUAACAAUACCAGAGAGGGUACACUUGGUAAAGAGACACAAUUUUUUUGUGGGGGCGGUUGGUUUUGGUUUCUAAGAUUCGUUUAUUUACUAAGUUUUCAGUGUUCUGGUAUCUCUGCCUGCAAGCCGGAAAAGGGCACCAGACCUCAUUGCGUACAUGGUGGUUGUGAGCCACCGUGUGGUUGCUAGGAAUUGAACUCAGGUCCUCUGGAAGAGUAACCAGUGCUCUUAACCUCUGAACCAUCUCUCCAGUCCAGUCAUGAUGUUCUAAAAGGCCUCAAACCAACAAUCUAUUUCACCCCCAUAAAGAAACUCAAAACAAAAAGUAAACUCAGUUUCAGAGGAAGUGGGGAGAAAAAGAUCUAAACAGAUAGAAAGAUUGGCAAAAACUAGCCAAAGUUAGUUGGGGGGGGUGGACAAUCAAUAUAAUUUACAAAUCACUAGCUAAAGUCCAGCUAGACUGAGCUGAAGAAAGGCAUAUAUGACCAAAAUCAGAAAUGGAAGAGGGGGCAUCGCUGAGUCUGUAGAAAUAAAAGAAUUAUAAAGAUCCGUGGAAGACUUUGCCCCAACGCAUGAGCCAACAUAGCCGGAAGCGUGAAACCCUAGAACAUUAUCAAAUGAUGUCGUCUUAGUAGAAAUCUGAGGAGGCAGUACCAAGUAAAAACUGAAUAAAUACUUUUGAAUCUUCUCAAUGAAAAGUCCAGUAUAUGACAACAUUUCCACACUGUAUGUUCAAUAGUGCGAGAAAGGGGGCUGGGAUAAUGAUUCUAUAAGGAAAUGACAAACAUUUGAGAAACUAGAUAUGUUUAAGCAAAUUUAGGCACACUAUAACAUACAAUGAUAUACCACAUGGUGCCCUGUUAAUCUUUGCUUUUUUAUUAAUUAAAAGUGAAUUGUGAGCGUGA